Molecule: long non-coding RNA, 1184 nt
Filed under: Junco hyemalis (dark-eyed junco)
Lineage: Eukaryota; Metazoa; Chordata; Aves; Passeriformes; Passerellidae
Description: lncRNA (ENSJHYG00000008422.1)
Source: RNAcentral
CAGGCCGCGCCGCUCCCCUCCCGCACGCCCAAACAUGGCCCCUCGCCACCAAGCCGGCAACUUUCCCCCUGCCCCUCCCGCCGCCGCCCGCCCCGCUCACCUCGCAUCAGGGAACAAAAACUGCAGGCGAGUAGGCUGCGCAGGACGGCCCCCAUCUUCCCUCCCUCCUCGCUCUCACCGGCGGGGAGGCGGCGGCGGGGAGCAGCACCUCCGCUGCCAGUUCAUGCUUCCAGGCGGGCGGGGGAAGCGGCGGGGAAGGGGAGGGCGGGAGGCGGGGAAGGGCGGCCGCGGAGAUCCCCCCUCGCCGGUCCCUAGCAGGCCACCGGUCCCGGCGUGCCGCCGCGGGAGCGGGCGCUGCCCUCCAUGCCGGCUGCUGCUGCUGCUGCCGCCGCCGCCUCACCGCGACCGCCGCGCUCCUUCCCCCAUCCACCCCUCCGCCUCCGCCGGGCGCGCACAGGCGCAGGGAUACAGUCCUCCUCCUCCUCCUCCUCUUCCUUCUCCUCCUCCUCCUCCUCCUCCCGCGCCGUGCCCGGCCGGCUCCCGGCGCAGCGCCCGCCCCCCGGCACCGCUCCCGUCGGGGAGGGCGGGAGCGGAGGGGCGGGGGCGCGCAGCUCCGCUCUCCCGGGCGGGAUCGCGCACACCCCCGGCGGCUCCGCAGCCGGCAGAACCCCGGCAGGGAGCGCGGCCCGGGGGGGGUUCCCUAAGGGAGGGAGGUGAGCGCGGUCACGGCACCCCCCGAGCGCAGGGACGGGGCGAGCUGGGGGGCAGCCGCAUUCCAGCGGGACUACUUUGCCUCCCCUCGCCCCCUCCGCCGCCUGCGACGCGUUCAGCCCUGGCCCGUGAGGACGGGACUACUUUCUGCCACAGAGCUGCGGCGGCGUCCGAGCGGCAGCACAAAGGCUCCGAUCCCGAUCCCAAUCCCGAUCCCCAUCCCCAUCCCGGGACGGGCCGUAACGCCGGAGCAUCGUCCGGGGGGCGGCUGGCAGGCAGAAUAAAGUUACGAUGAGAAAAUCUUCAUGAUUUCAAGGUUUUCAUUCAGUCUAGACAUCUACAUCACAUUCUUCCUCACAGAAUGUGACAGCUGGUGAGUAGAAUAAUGAUAUGGAGCAGAACAACUUGGAGCAACAUUUGAGGCACUUUCAUUCCAAAAUCAGUAUAAUUUUCAGGAUUAUUAGAAACUCACA